AGUAGUUCCUGGUCACGUGAUGAGGUAGCACCGACCUGCGAAGGUAUACAGUAGUUCCUGGUCACGUGAUGAGGUAGCACCGACCUGCGAUGGUAUACAGUAGUUCCUGGUCACGUGAUGAGGUCGCCCCCGCCUGCGAUGGUAUACAGUAGUUCCUGGUCACGUGAUGAGGUCGCCCCCGCCUGCGAUGGUAUACGUGUAGGGCCUUGGUCACGUGAUGAGGUAGCCCCGACCUGCGAUGGUAUACAGUAGUUCCUGGUCACGUGAUGAGGUAGCC
This is a long non-coding RNA of Oncorhynchus keta (chum salmon), 277 nucleotides long. RefSeq lists it as uncharacterized. The transcript is spliced from 3 exons. The record is from RefSeq and is a predicted model, not a curated record. NCBI's taxonomy places the organism in Eukaryota, Metazoa, Chordata, Actinopteri, Salmoniformes, Salmonidae.